GCCUUCGUAGUGUAGCGGGCAGUACGUUCGACGCGUAACCGAAAGGUUCGUGGUUCGAUUCCCGACGAAGGCG
RNAcentral lists this transfer RNA (73 nucleotides) under Stegodyphus mimosarum. It matches the Rfam family "tRNA". From Rfam's summary of the family: Transfer RNA (tRNA) molecules are approximately 80 nucleotides in length. Lineage: Eukaryota; Metazoa; Arthropoda; Arachnida; Araneae; Eresidae. The record is from Rfam by way of RNAcentral.